GACGAACGCUGGCGGCGUGCUUAACACAUGCAAGUCGAACGGAAAGGCCCUGCUUUUGUGGGGUGCUCGAGUGGCGAACGGGUGAGUAACACGUGAGUAACCUGCCCUUGACUUUGGGAUAACUUCAGGAAACUGGGGCUAAUACCGGAUAGGAGCUCCUGCUGCAUGGUGGGGGUUGGAAAGUUUCGGCGGUUGGGGAUGGACUCGCGGCUUAUCAGCUUGUUGGUGGGGUAGUGGCUUACCAAGGCUUUGACGGGUAGCCGGCCUGAGAGGGUGACCGGCCACAUUGGGACUGAGAUACGGCCCAGACUCCUACGGGAGGCAGCAGUGGGGAAUAUUGCACAAUGGGCGGAAGCCUGAUGCAGCAACGCCGCGUGCGGGAUGACGGCCUUCGGGUUGUAAACCGCUUUCGCCUGUGACGAAGCGUGAGUGACGGUAAUGGGUAAAGAAGCACCGGCUAACUACGUGCCAGCAGCCGCGGUGAUACGUAGGGUGCGAGCGUUGUCCGGAUUUAUUGGGCGUAAAGGGCUCGUAGGUGGUUGAUCGCGUCGGAAGUGUAAUCUUGGGGCUUAACCCUGAGCGUGCUUUCGAUACGGGUUGACUUGAGGAAGGUAGGGGAGAAUGGAAUUCCUGGUGGAGCGGUGGAAUGCGCAGAUAUCAGGAGGAACACCAGUGGCGAAGGCGGUUCUCUGGGCCUUUCCUGACGCUGAGGAGCGAAAGCGUGGGGAGCGAACAGGCUUAGAUACCCUGGUAGUCCACGCUGUAAACGGUGGGUACUAGGUGUGGGGUCCAUUCCACGGGUUCCGUGCCGUAGCUAACGCUUUAAGUACCCCGCCUGGGGAGUACGGCCGCAAGGCUAAAACUCAAAGGAAUUGACGGGGCCCCGCACAAGCGGCGGAGCAUGCGGAUUAAUUCGAUGCAACGCGUAGAACCUUACCUGGGUUUGACAUGGAUCGGGAGCGCUCAGAGAUGGGUGUGCCUCUUUUGGGGUCGGUUCACAGGUGGUGCAUGGCUGUCGUCAGCUCGUGUCGUGAGAUGUUGGGUUAAGUCCCGCAACGAGCGCAACCCUUGUUCACUGUUGCCAGCACGUUAUGGUGGGGACUCAGUGGAGACCGCCGGGGUCAACUCGGAGGAAGGUGGGGAUGACGUCAAGUCAUCAUGCCCCUUAUGUCCAGGGCUUCACGCAUGCUACAAUGGCUGGUACAGAGAGUGGCGAGCCUGUGAGGGUGAGCGAAUCUCGGAAAGCCGGUCUCAGUUCGGAUUGGGGUCUGCAACUCGACCUCAUGAAGUCGGAGUCGCUAGUAAUCGCAGAUCAGCAACGCUGCAGUGAAUACGUUCCCGGG
Molecule: ribosomal RNA, 1343 nt
Filed under: uncultured bacterium
Lineage: Bacteria
Description: 16S ribosomal RNA
Rfam family: Bacterial small subunit ribosomal RNA
Source: RNAcentral